Molecule: ribosomal RNA, 384 nt
Filed under: uncultured eukaryote
Lineage: Eukaryota
Description: partial small subunit ribosomal RNA
Rfam family: Eukaryotic small subunit ribosomal RNA
Source: RNAcentral
AGCUCCAAUAGCGUAUAUUAAAGUUGUUGCAGUUAAAAAGCUCGUAGUUGGAUUAUUGGUGAAUAUAGUAAGUACGGCACACUGUGCUGAUAUUUUUACUAUUUUUUACCAUUCUUGAAAAGAUUUUUUCUGGCAUUAAGUUGUCGGAUAAAGAAUUUUCAUCUUUUACUGUGAAAAAAUUAGAGUGUUCAAAGCAAGCUUAUGCUGUUGAAUAUAUUAGCAUGGAAUAAUAAGAUACGACCAUAGUACUACUUUGUUGGUUUAUGUACUAAGGUAAUGAUCAAUAGGGACAGUCGGGGGUAUUUGUAUUGCAUUGUCAGAGGUGAAAUUCUUGGAUCUCUGCAAGACAAACUACUGCGAAAGCAUUUACCAUGGAUGUUUUCA